AACGCAAAUUGCACUUUCUGGUAUUCCGGGAAGUAUGCCUGUUUGAGGGUCAGUAUAAUAAAAAUCGGGAGUGUUGCUUAUUUUCAUAUUUGGUAUCACUUUCGGAAUUGAGUUAUCUUUUUAACUAUUGGGUUAAAGUGACUUAAAAUUGAAAUUUCAUCCGUAUUUUAGGCGUGAUUAGAAUCAUCUAUGCGUCUUGAGUACUGGAAUUUUUUAUUAGGCGUAUACCAUCGUUAAACGGUAAAAAUGCCUAUAAUUUUUUUUGAAAUUUGACCUCAAAUCAAGUAAGAAUACCCGCUGAACUUAA
Molecule: unclassified non-coding RNA, 307 nt
Filed under: uncultured Glomerales
Lineage: Eukaryota; Fungi; Glomeromycota; Glomeromycetes; Glomerales; Glomeraceae
Description: sequence contains 5.8S rRNA gene, ITS2, 28S rRNA gene
Source: RNAcentral